RNAcentral lists this ribosomal RNA (464 nucleotides) under uncultured bacterium. Its description in RNAcentral is "bacterial SSU rRNA". It matches the Rfam family "Bacterial small subunit ribosomal RNA", at positions 330 to 792 of the family's 1533-position model. The record is from RNAcentral.
ACCAGACUCCUACGGGAGGCAGCAGUGAGGAAUAUUGGUCAAUGGGCGGGAGCCUGAACCAGCCAAGUCGCGUGAGGGAUGACGGCCCUAUGGGUUGUAAACCUCUUUUGCCGGGGAGCAAAGUACCGCACGUGUGCGGUUUGGAGAGUACCCGGAGAAAAAGCAUCGGCUAACUCCGUGCCAGCAGCCGCGGUAAUACGGAGGAUGCGAGCGUUAUCCGGAUUUAUUGGGUUUAAAGGGUGCGUAGGCGGACGCUUAAGUCAGCGGUAAAAUUUCGGGGCUCAACCCCGUCGUGCCGUUGAAACUGACGCCCUUGAGUGAGUGAGAAGUAAGCGGAAUGCGUGGUGUAGCGGUGAAAUGCAUAGAUAUCACGCAGAACUCCGAUUGCGAAGGCAGCAUACCGGCGCCCAACUGACGCUGAAGCACGAAAGCGUGGGUAUCGAACAGGAUUGGAUACCCGAGUA